Homo sapiens (human) is the source of this 1739-nucleotide long non-coding RNA. Lineage: Eukaryota; Metazoa; Chordata; Mammalia; Primates; Hominidae. The record is from Ensembl.
AGUUUGGAAAAUUUGCAGCCUAGUCAAGUGGUCAAAAAGAAAAGCUGAUUUUCAGGGCGAAAAUUCAAUAAGGCUUAGAGUAUUUGCAUAAAAAGGAGCCUCAGUGUAUGGGCGCUGUUCAUCCUCUGGUGCUGAAGCAGCCAAGAGACCCAAGUCUGCCUGGCUGCCUCUUAGGAUAUGACAGCAGAGCCAGUGGCCUCUACUAGAUCCUGUACAACCUCACAAAACACCCAGACAUCGGGAGUGCUGCCAGCCUGUGAUGCAAGAGUCCUAAUCCUGAAGACAUUGAAUGACCUGUCGUUGUGCUGUUUUUACCAAAAAGGAUCAUGAGGAUCAGAGAGGAAAAGUCACUUGCCCAAAGUCACACAGCUGAACAGUGGUGGAGUUCAACUUUGACCGUGGGCUGUCUGGCCCCAAGGUGUAUGCUUGCUUCUCUCCCAAGAGACUCCUUUCUUAUCAGGCUCAAAUGAAUGAAAGGAGGAUGUUAAAGACAACGCCAUUAUUGACGAGAUCACUCCCAAGCGGAUUGGAGAUUGUCCCAAUAUUUAGACCUAUAGCAAGGCCUUGGGAGAAAUGGUGGUGCAGCAGGAGAGCAGGAACCUAACCAUUGCCAUCCUAAGGCCCUCCAUUGUGUGGAGCAACGUGGCACCAGCUUUUCCUGGGUUGGGUUGAUAAUCUAAAUGGAUGUAGCCGACUCAUUAUUGCGAACUCGUCAAGGCGGAUAGUGGUCUUUUCCCACCUGGUCUUCAGUCACAGAUGGGGGCUGGGGCGGUGGCACCGUCUUCGUCGUCGAGGUAGACCCUAUGGAGCCACACCGCCCUGCCGGGUUCUCUGGGUGCAAUAAAUACCAGUCACAGUUUGGGAGGGGGCCGUGUGCAGGUGGGGAGGCCUCUGGGCUGCAUGUGCCGCUUCCUGUGCAGGGCAAGGUGGGCAGAGCGCAAGAAGGCAUGGUGGCACCAAUGGCCCUGAAAUGGCCAGUGGCCCCUGUGCUUGUGGUGGUGGAGCGUUAGCUUGUCUGAGUGAGCACGCUUCCAGCUGCUUCCAUCCCAGUGGCAGUGGUCGGGCUUGUCACUUGUGUGCUGCGCAGAUGUGCCUGCAGGGGAGAAUUCUUGCUGUAGGUCUGGCCGUAGCCACAUAGGUAUGCCUGGUGUUGCGGUUCCCAGGCCAGGAGCAGCUGUCACGCUUGGGCUUGGCCUCCAGCAGCUCCAGCGGGGACGCCGGUGCCACCACAAGGAGGCCGCGGGCGACUGGGGGUGCCAGGCCCAGGGCUGUGGCGGCGGCGGCCACCGCCUAAGAGACUAAAGACGGGCGUGGAGGGGCGGAGCUGGGCGGGGGGCGCCUCAUGAAGGCCGGGCUGGGUGUCCCAAACCAGGGCCACGGAAGGGCAGCGGGAAGGAGGCGUGCGGGCCGUAGGGGCUGAGGGGCAGGUGUUGGGGGCGGAAUGGGAGGGACCCGGGACCUCGCAUGCAUGAAGCUGCAGGCCCGGGGCGCCCUAGUGUUUGAGAGGACGCGCGAUCCAUACCUGAACCUGGGUGCGUAGCCGCCGCCAUCUGCUUCAGGGUGCUGGGCUUUGACCAGGUGGCUGGGCAGCACCAGUUGAAAGCGGUUGAGCAGGCAGGGCGCAGUGGCUCACGCCUGUAAUCCCAGCACUUUGGGAGACCAAGGCGGGCCGAUCACGGGGUCAGGAGAUGGAGACCAUCCUGGCUAACAGGGUGAAACCGCGUCUCUACUAAACAUAC